UUUAACUGAAGAGUUUGAUCAUGGCUCAGAUUGAACGCUGGCGGCAGGCUUAACACAUGCAAGUCGAGCGGGGGAAGGUAGCUUGCUACUGGACCUAGCGGCGGACGGGUGAGUAAUGCUUAGGAAUCUGCCUAUUAGUGGGGGACAACAUCUCGAAAGGGAUGCUAAUACCGCAUACGUCCUACGGGAGAAAGCAGGGGAUCUUCGGACCUUGCGCUAAUAGAUGAGCCUAAGUCGGAUUAGCUAGUUGGUGGGGUAAAGGCCUACCAAGGCGACGAUCUGUAGCGGGUCUGAGAGGAUGAUCCGCCACACUGGGACUGAGACACGGCCCAGACUCCUACGGGAGGCAGCAGUGGGGAAUAUUGGACAAUGGGGGGAACCCUGAU
This 386-nucleotide ribosomal RNA is filed under the name Acinetobacter baumannii. Its description in RNAcentral is "bacterial SSU rRNA". It matches the Rfam family "Bacterial small subunit ribosomal RNA", at positions 1 to 387 of the family's 1533-position model. Lineage: Bacteria; Pseudomonadati; Pseudomonadota; Gammaproteobacteria; Moraxellales; Moraxellaceae. The record is from RNAcentral.